AGAGUUUUUUCCUGGCUCAGAGUGAACGCUGGCGGUAGGCCUAACACAUGCAAGUCGAGCGGUAGCACAGAGAGCUUGCUCUCGGGUGACGAGCGGCGGACGGGUGAGUAAUGUCUGGGAAACUGCCUGAUGGAGGGGGAUAACUACUGGAAACGGUAGCUAAUACCGCAUAACGUCGCAAGACCAAAGUGGGGGACCUUCGGGCCUCAUGCCAUCAGAUGUGCCCAGAUGGGAUUAGCUGGUAGGUGGGGUAACGGCUCACCUAGGCGACGAUCCCUAGCUGGUCUGAGAGGAUGACCAGCCACACUGGAACUGAGACACGGUCCAGACUCCUACGGGAGGCAGCAGUGGGGAAUAUUGCACAAUGGGCGCAAGCCUGAUGCAGCCAUGCCGCGUGUGUGAAGAAGGCCUUCGGGUUGUAAAGCACUUUCAGCGGGGAGGAAGGCGGUGAGGUUAAUAACCUCACCGAUUGACGUUACCCGCAGAAGAAGCACCGGCUAACUCCGUGCCAGCAGCCGCGGUAAUACGGAGGGUGCAAGCGUUAAUCGGAAUUACUGGGCGUAAAGCGCACGCAGGCGGUCUGUCAAGUCGGAUGUGAAAUCCCCGGGCUCAACCUGGGAACUGCAUUCGAAACUGGCAGGCUAGAGUCUUGUAGAGGGGGGUAGAAUUCCAGGUGUAGCGGUGAAAUGCGUAGAGAUCUGGAGGAAUACCGGUGGCGAAGGCGGCCCCCUGGACAAAGACUGACGCUCACGCGCGAAAGCGUGGGGAGCAAAAAAGAUUAGGUACCCUGGUAGUCCACGCUGUAAAC
RNAcentral lists this ribosomal RNA (808 nucleotides) under uncultured bacterium. Its description in RNAcentral is "bacterial SSU rRNA". It matches the Rfam family "Bacterial small subunit ribosomal RNA", at positions 8 to 807 of the family's 1533-position model. The record is from RNAcentral.